CCCUUAGAUGUUCUGGGCCGCACGCGCGCUACACUGUUCGACGCAGCGAGUCUUAACCUUGACCGAAAGGUUUGGGUAAUCUUCAGCAAAGUCGAACGUGAUGGGGAUCGAUCAUUGCAAUUAUUGAUCGUGAACGAGGAAUUCCUAGUAAGUGCAAGUCAUCAGCUUGCGUUGAUUACGUCCCUGCCCUUUGUACACACCGCCCGUCGCUACUACCGAUUGAACGGUUUAGUGAGAUCUCUGGAUUGACGCUGGCUAGGGGGCGACCCUUGGCCAGGCUGCUCGAGAAACUGCUCAAACUUGAUCAUUUAGAGGAAGUAAAAGUCGUAACA
RNAcentral lists this ribosomal RNA (332 nucleotides) under uncultured eukaryote. RNAcentral describes it as "partial 18S ribosomal RNA". It matches the Rfam family "Eukaryotic small subunit ribosomal RNA", at positions 1470 to 1796 of the family's 1831-position model. The record is from RNAcentral.